This 498-nucleotide ribosomal RNA is filed under the name Bacillus pumilus. Its description in RNAcentral is "bacterial SSU rRNA". It matches the Rfam family "Bacterial small subunit ribosomal RNA", at positions 1 to 490 of the family's 1533-position model. The record is from RNAcentral. Lineage: Bacteria; Bacillati; Bacillota; Bacilli; Caryophanales; Bacillaceae.
AAAGUUUGAUCCUGGCACAGGAUUAACGCUGGCUUUCGUGCUUGGGACAUGCAAGUCGAGCGGACAGAAGGGAGCUUGCUCCCGGAUGUUAGCGGCGGACGGGUGAGUAACACGUGGGUAACCUGCCUGUAAGACUGGGAUAACUCCGGGAAACCGGAGCUAAUACCGGAUAGUUCCUUGAACCGCAUGGUUCAAGGAUGAAAGACGGUUUCGGCUGUCACUUACAGAUGGACCCGCGGCGCAUUAGCUAGUUGGUGGGGUAAUGGCUCACCAAGGCGACGAUGCGUAGCCGACCUGAGAGGGUGAUCGGCCACACUGGGACUGAGACACGGCCCAGACUCCUACGGGAGGCAGCAGUAGGGAAUCUUCCGCAAUGGACGAAAGUCUGACGGAGCAACGCCGCGUGAGUGAUGAAGGUUUUCGGAUCGUAAAGCUCUGUUGUUAGGGAAGAACAAGUGCGAGAGUAACUGCUCGCACCUGACGGUACCUACCAGAAAG